This 2447-nucleotide long non-coding RNA is filed under the name Marmota monax (woodchuck). Lineage: Eukaryota; Metazoa; Chordata; Mammalia; Rodentia; Sciuridae. The record is from RNAcentral.
AGGGGGCGGGGCCAGAGCGCGGGAGGCGGAGGAGACGGUUGAGCGUCUCUGCCGCGCGCGGGAUCCUUCCGCCAAACGGGCCGAACAAAUAGGCCCCCUGGCCGGAGCGUGAGUUGCAAAGUUGCUCGCGGGAGUUGGGGCUAGGGGAGGAAGUGUUGCUGUGCGCUGUGAGAAUGAGAUUGUAUCCCUCGGUGGAUCCUGCUCGCAGAGGCCAGAGGUUUACAGACCUGGCCACGUGAGAGCCCACCGAGGCAUUUUGGAGGUCCUGGAAUUUAUCCUUUAAGAUAAGUGUGGGGUGAGGUGGAGCUGGAUGAUAAUAAAGAGAAGUAGGUUGACGUAUUUUUAAUUCUGAUACGAUGGAUGUUGGGGGGAGAGAAAAACUUAUUUGGGGGCUAAGUUAAAAACAGAAAAGAAAAGCAACCCCUCACUACCACCCACACAUAUAUGCCAAAAUGUUAGCUAGUUCCUGUGAGUGGUGGGAAUAUGGGUGCUUGAAUAUCACUUUUGUGUGCGCGCGCUUCUGGAACCCCUGGGGGGUGGGGGGAACCCGUCCUCUAAAAUAAAAUGUCAUUCCUAUCUUUGGAUUAUCUUUCUUGAACUCGCAAAGUUAUGUAAUCAUCGGAACGGUUACCCUGAUUGCAGCCUGAGCCAAGUUGAACGAGAGCGUGCAGCAGAUAAAAGGAGAAUUUGCACAUUUCGCGCUUCGGGGCCCCAGGGCGGAAGAGGAAAGCGACUUUACGGAGGCAGGCUGUUCAGGCGGGUCCCGGGCUCUGCAGACUACCAGAGGAACUUAGGUGCGUCCCUCUCCGGCUCCUCAGCCUCUCCAAAUGCGUCCCUUUCCAGGGGGCCCCCAAACUGUGCCACCCCCCGGGGGCUGCGCGUCGCCUUCGGCUGGGUUUGGAAGUGCCGCCCACGCUGAGCAGACACAUCUGCUUCCUUUCCUGACCUUUCCGUUUAUCUGUUUCUUCCGGCAUUGCUUUACAAAGCCCCUUCCUUCCGCGGAGAGAUUCAUUUUGUUUCUCAAGACACGCUGGAUGCACGGAUUCCCUUUCCCGGAUGCCAUCGAGGUGACUGCCACCUGGGCAUCCAUUCACCCUCGACUGCUGAGGUUCAGGGCUCCCCUGACUCCUCAGCUGCACACUCCACUGUCCAGUCACCAACUCGCUCUCCCGUGCUAAGGCUGUGCCCACCAGAAGUCACACGAAGUCAGCCCAAGGCACUGAGCCCAGUUGAUGACUCUUGGGAUUGGUGCCCAGCGCUGCUGUGAACAUCUGCCUGUGGAGGUCACGAUGGCUCUUGCCCAACUCCAGGAGACCUUGGGCUCCUCCCGGGCAGGGUGUAUCAUUGCUAUGGCAUUUGGAGCAGGAGUAUGAAAGACCGAGAUUCACUACGUGGACAAAUAGUUAUGGAACACCUACUGUGCCAGACAUUGUUCUGGGCGGUGAAGCAGGGGUUGAGUAAGUCAGACAAGGCCUUUCUUUCAUGGAGAGUCAUUGGUAAGCCAGACAGACAAUAAACAAAGAUGCAAAUAAAAAUUUCAGCUUCUGAUAAGUGUCAGGGAAAAAAAGAAAAGAAUACUGAACUCAUUUUCUUACUGUGUGCCAAAAAUUAUCUCAUUGCAUCUUCAAGACAACCCCAGGGAGUAUGUACUAUUCCUAGCACCCCAUUUUACAGAUGAAGAAAUCAAGGCACAGAGAGGCUAAUUGCUGAAGGCCACACAGCUAGGAAAUAAGAGAGCAAGACUGGAACUCAGGACAGCCUGGAAGCACAGCCCUGUUUUGUAUUCAGUAAAUCUAUAUAGCAAAGACCCAGAGGCUGUCACAAGCCCUGACACACAUUAGACAUAGCAUCAUUGUGGAACCAGAUGGGAUGACUGGUUGAAACAUGCUUGCGCCCACAGUAAAUGUGCCAUGGUUUUCCCUAUGCAAAAUGGCAGGUGUGUUGACCUCUAUCCACAUCCUGAGGACAGGAGGACUUCAGCCUCUCUCCACCUGCUGUCCUCUCCAGGGUCCAGUUUUACCAGCACACACCUAAGUGAAUCAGCUGGCCCCAGAGUGACAGAACUCACCAGGGAGCCCAAGCAGCUGGCAGAGGAAGGAACCCGUUCCCUUCCUUUUUCUGCUGUGAUCCACAGUCUCUGCUUCCUUAGGGACCAGCAAGCAAAGCAGUUGGCCACAAAGUGUCCAACUUUGUCCUUUCCCUUCUCUGGGCCUCGAUUUGCCUGUCUUUAACAUGACAGUGGAUUAAAAGGUCCAUUUCAAACUGUCUUCUUGGAUCCACAGGGCAUUCUUAGGGGGCUGCUAAAGACAGCCUGGAGCUUACAAAAUAAGAUUAAGGGAGAGGGGUGAAGCUAACCUACUGAAAACCAACAAUAUCUCUGUAGACACUUGGUCUUGGCAGGGUAUCCCAGUGUCUAAAGGAAUGAGGCCAAUAAUAUGAAAUAAUUC